CAGGGGGAUAACAGUCAGAAAUGACUGCUAAUCCCGCAUAAGCGCACAGUACCGCAUGGUACGGUGUGAAAAACUCCGGUGGUAUGGGAUGGACCCGCGUCUGAUUAGCUAGUUGGUGGGGUAACGGCCUACCAAGGCGACGAUCAGUAGCCGGCCUGAGAGGGCGACCGACCACAUUGGGACUGAGACACGGCCCAAACUCCUACGGGAGGCAGCAGUGGGGAAUAUUGCACAAUGGGGGAAACCCUGAUGCAGCGACGCCGCGUGAGCGAAGAAGUAUUUCGGUAUGUAAAGCUCUAUCAGCAGGGAAGAAAAUGACGGUACCUGACUAAGAAGCCCCGGCUAACUACGUGCCAGCAGCCGCGGUAAUACGUAGGGGGCAAGCGUUAUCCGGAUUUACUGGGUGUAAAGGGAGCGUAGACGGAAUGGCAAGUCUGAUGUGAAAGGCCGGGGCUCAACCCCGGGACUGCAUUGGAAACUGUCAAUCUAGAGUACCGGAGGGGUAAGUGGAAUUCCUAGUGUAGCGGUGAAAUGCGUAGAUAUUAGGAGGAACACCAGUGGCGAAGGCGGCUUACUGGACGGUAACUGACGUUGAGGCUCGAAAGCGUGGGGAGCAAACAGGAUUAGAUACCCUGGUAGUCCACGCCGUAAACGAUGAAUACAAGGUGUUGGGGAGCAAAGCUAUUUGGUGCCGCAAGCAAAACGCAAUAAGUAUUCCCCCUGGGGAGUACUUUCGCAAGAAUGUAAACUCUAAGGAAUUGACGGGGACCCGCACAAGCGGUGGUGCAUGUGGUUUAAUUCGAAGCAACGCGAAGAACCUUACCAAAUCUUGACAUCGAUCUGACCGGACUGUAAUGAGUCCUUUCCCUUCGGGGACAGAGAAGACAGGUGGUGCAUGGUUGUCGUCAGCUCGUGUCGUGAGAUGUUGGGUUAAGUCCCGCAACGAGCGCAACCCUUAUCCUCAGUAGCCAGCAAGUGAAGUUGGGCACUUUGUGGAGACUGCCAGGGAUAACCUGGAGGAAGGUGGGGAUGACGUCAAAUCAUCAUGCCCCUUAUGAUUUGGGCUACACACGUGCUACAAUGGCGUAAACAAAGGGAAGCGAUCACGCGAGUGUGAGCAAAUCUCAAAAAUAACGUCUCAGUUCGGAUUGUAGUCUGCAACUCGACUACAUGGAGCUGGAAUCGCUAGUAAUCGCAGGUCAGCAUACUGCGGUGAAUACGUUCCCGGGUCUUGCACACACCGCCCGUCA
RNAcentral lists this ribosomal RNA (1250 nucleotides) under uncultured bacterium. RNAcentral describes it as "bacterial SSU rRNA". It matches the Rfam family "Bacterial small subunit ribosomal RNA", at positions 136 to 1399 of the family's 1533-position model. The record is from RNAcentral.